AACGAACGCUGGCGGCAGGCUUAACACAUGCAAGUCGAGCGCCGUAGCAAUACGGAGCGGCAGACGGGUGAGUAACGCGUGGGAAUCUACCCAUCACUACGGAACAACUCCGGGAAACUGGAGCUAAUACCGUAUACGUCCUUCGGGAGAAAGAUUUAUCGGUGAUGGAUGAGCCCGCGUUGGAUUAGCUAGUUGGUGGGGUAAUGGCCCACCAAGGCGACGAUCCAUAGCUGGUCUGAGAGGAUGACCAGCCACACUGGGACUGAGACACGGCCCAGACGCCUACGGGAGGCAGCAGUGGGGAAUAUUGGAUAAUGGGCGCAAGCCUGAUCCAGCCAUGCCGCGUGAGUGAUGAAGGCCCUAGGGUUGUAAAGCUCUUUCACCGGUGAAGAUAAUGACGGUAACCGGAGAAGAAGCCCCGGCUAACUUCGUGCCAGCCGCCGCGGUAA
RNAcentral lists this ribosomal RNA (449 nucleotides) under uncultured bacterium. RNAcentral's name for it is "partial 16S ribosomal RNA". It matches the Rfam family "Bacterial small subunit ribosomal RNA", at positions 29 to 523 of the family's 1533-position model. The record is from RNAcentral.